RNAcentral lists this ribosomal RNA (515 nucleotides) under uncultured bacterium. RNAcentral's name for it is "partial 16S ribosomal RNA". It matches the Rfam family "Bacterial small subunit ribosomal RNA", at positions 28 to 523 of the family's 1533-position model. The record is from RNAcentral.
GAUGAACGCUGGCGGCGUGCCUAAUACAUGCAAGUCGAGCGAAUGGAUUAAGAGCUUGCUCUUAUGAAGUUAGCGGCGGACGGGUGAGUAACACGUGGGUAACCUGCCCAUAAGACUGGGAUAACUCCGGGAAACCGGGGCUAAUACCGGAUAACAUUUUGAACCGCAUGGUUCGAAAUUGAAAGGCGGCUUCGGCUGUCCCUUAUGGAUGGACCAGCGUCGCAUUAGCUAGUUGGUGAGGUAACGGCUCACCAAGGCAACGAAACGUAGCCGCCCUUAGAGGGUGAUCGGCCACACUAGGACUGAGACACGGCCCAGACUCCUACGGGAGGCAGCAGUAGGGAAUCUUCCGCAAUAGACGAAAGUCUGACGGAGCAACGCCUCGUGAGUGAUUAAGGCUUUCGGGUCGUAAAACUCUGUUGUUAGGGAAGAACAAGUGCUAGUUGAAUAAGCUGGCACCUUGACGGGACCUAACCAGAAAGCCACGGCUAACUACGUGCCAGCAGCCGCCGCAG